UCUCCGUAGGCGAACCUGCGGAAGGAUCAUUCAUAAUAAAGUGUUUUAUGGCACUUUUUAAAAAUCCAUAUCCACCUUGUGUGCAAUGUUAGAUCUCGUCAAUCUUGGCGAGAUUUUUAUACAUCAACUCAUUCUUUAACUAAUUUGUCUGAAAAAUAUUAUGAAUACUUAAUUCAAAAUACAACUCUCAACAACGGAUCUCUUGGCUCUC
RNAcentral lists this unclassified non-coding RNA (211 nucleotides) under plant metagenome. Its description in RNAcentral is "partial contains small subunit ribosomal RNA, internal transcribed spacer 1, and 5.8S ribosomal RNA". The record is from RNAcentral.